GACGAACCGUGCGAACGUUGUUCGGAAUUACUGGGCGUAAAGGGCGCGUAGGCGGGAUGGCAAGUCGGUCGUGAAAUCCCUCGGCUCAACUGAGGAUCGUCGAUCGAUACUGCCGUUCUUGAGGAUUGCAGAGGAGACUGGAAUUCCCGGUGUAGCGGUGAAAUGUGUAGAGAUCGGGAGGAACACCGGUGGCGAAGGCGGGUCUCUGGGCCGAUACUGACGCUGAGGAGCGAAAGCGUGGGGAGCGAACAGG
This 253-nucleotide ribosomal RNA is filed under the name uncultured bacterium. RNAcentral's name for it is "partial 16S ribosomal RNA". It matches the Rfam family "Bacterial small subunit ribosomal RNA", at positions 524 to 776 of the family's 1533-position model. The record is from RNAcentral.